RNAcentral lists this ribosomal RNA (499 nucleotides) under uncultured bacterium. RNAcentral's name for it is "bacterial SSU rRNA". It matches the Rfam family "Bacterial small subunit ribosomal RNA", at positions 899 to 1397 of the family's 1533-position model. The record is from RNAcentral.
ACUCAAAGGAAUUGACGGGGACCCGCACAAGUAGCGGAGCAUGUGGUUUAAUUCGAAGCAACGCGAAGAACCUUACCUAAGCUUGACAUCCCACUGACCUCUCCCUAAUCGGAGAUUUCCCUUCGGGGACAGUGGUGACAGGUGGUGCAUGGUUGUCGUCAGCUCGUGUCGUGAGAUGUUGGGUUAAGUCCCGCAACGAGCGCAACCCUUGCCUUUAGUUGCCAGCAUUAAGUUGGGCACUCUAGAGGGACUGCCGAGGAUAACUCGGAGGAAGGUGGGGAUGACGUCAAAUCAUCAUGCCCCUUAUGCUUAGGGCUACACACGUGCUACAAUGGGUGGUACAGAGGGUUGCCAAGCCGCGAGGUGGAGCUAAUCCCUUAAAGCCAUUCUCAGUUCGGAUUGUAGGCUGAAACUCGCCUACAUGAAGCUGGAGUUACUAGUAAUCGCAGAUCAGAAUGCUGCGGUGAAUGCGUUCCCGGGUCUUGUACACACCGCCCGU